GCGGCAGGCCUACACAUGCAGUCGAGCGGCAGCGGGAAGUAGCUUGCUACUUUUGCCGGCGAGCGGCGGACGGGUGAGUAAUGCCUAGGGAUCUGCCCAGUCGUGGGGGAUAACAGUUGGAAACGACUGCUAAUACCGCAUACGCCCUACGGGGGAAAGGAGGGGACCUUCGGGCCUUUCACGAUUGGAUGAACCUAGGUGGGAUUAGCUAGGUGGUGAGGUAAUGGCUCACCAAGGCGACGAUCCCUAGCUGGUCUGAGAGGAUGAUCAGCCACACUGGAACUGAGACACGGCCCAGACUCCUACGGGAGGCAGCAGUGGGGAAUAUUGCACAAUGGGGGAAACCCUGAUGCAGCCAUGCCGCGUGUGUGAAGAAGGCCUUCGGGUUGUAAAGCACUUUCAGACAGGAGGAAAGGUACCGUGUUAAUAGCACGUUGCUGUGACGUUUCGGACAGAAAGAUGGACCG
RNAcentral lists this ribosomal RNA (467 nucleotides) under bacterium ER-V-2. RNAcentral describes it as "bacterial SSU rRNA". It matches the Rfam family "Bacterial small subunit ribosomal RNA", at positions 39 to 495 of the family's 1533-position model. The record is from RNAcentral.